AGAGUUUGAUCAUGGCUCAGAACGAACGCUGGCGGCGUGGAUUAGGCAUGCAAGUCGAGCGAGAAAGGGGUAGCAAUACCCCGAGUAAAGCGGCGAACUGGUGAGUAACAGGUGGGCAACGUGCCCUGAAGCGGGGGAUAACACCGGGAAACCGGUGCUAAUACCGCAUGUGGCCCCCGGAGACCAAGGUCUCUUGGGUUAAAGCAGUGAUGCACUUCAGGAUCGGCCCGCCCCUGAUUAGCUUGUUGGUGAGGUAACGGCUCACCAAGGCUACGAUCAGUAGCUGGUCUGAGAGGAUGGUCAGCCACACUGGGACUGAGAUACGGCCCAGACUCCUACGGGGGGCAGCAGUCUAGAGGCUUCGUCAAUGGGGGCAACCCUGAACGAGCGACGCCGCGUGUGGGAUUGAAGGCCUUCGGGUUGUAAACCACUGUGGAGAGGGACGAAUGCCCGGAUGGCGAAUCCGGGAGUGACGGUACCUUUAUAGCAAGCCCCGGCUAACUCCGUGCCAGCAGCCGCGGUAAUACGGAGGGGGCAAGCGUUGUUCGGAUUUACUGGGCGUAAAGGGUGUGUAGGCGGUGGCGUAAGUCUGGUGUGAAAUCUUCAUCGCUCAACGGGAAGAGGUCACUGGAAACUACGUCACUCGAGUGUGGUAGAGGCAAGCGGAAUUCCUGGUGUAGCGGUGGAAUGUGUAGAUAUCAGGAGGAACACCGGUGGCGAAGGCGGCUACCUGGACCGAAACUGACGCUGAGACACGAAAGCGUGGGGAGCAAACAGGAUUAGAUACCCUAGUAGUCC
Molecule: ribosomal RNA, 798 nt
Filed under: uncultured bacterium
Lineage: Bacteria
Description: bacterial SSU rRNA
Rfam family: Bacterial small subunit ribosomal RNA
Source: RNAcentral